CCACAGCUUACAAAGACACAAUUGCAUAGUGGGAGCCUUUGGGAAGUUUUAAAUAUCUUCUGUGAAGGAGGAGAAAUGUGGACAUGUUGGCCAAGCUGGUCAUUUUCAUGGCGGAUCUUACACUUACUUUGGCCAUUUUUGGUAUCCUCUAUGCUCUUUCCCUAAUAGCAACCACAGGUAUAUUCAUCUCUGUCCUCUUCUAUAUUUUCAAAGGGAUGGAUAAAAACUGUGACUUCAGCAAGGGAAGAAUCCAGGUGCCAGAUUCCAGCAGUGCUCCUGGGAAGGCAUUUGCAGGCAACAUGGAGAGUCAGGUCUGGAAUGCUCCCCACCUAUUUUCUGGCUGCAAGAGAAGAGGCCCAAGGAGUGUGUUUUUGUCUGCUAGAGAGCGAGGAGCCCUCUAUGGUGGAGGAGGUGUGCAACCGGACCUACCAGAACACCGCACCCACCCAACUGAGAGGUCAUUCAAACUGCCAUCUACACGUGAAUAACAAGGAAAUUCUCAUAAACAAGCAAACAUACCCAAGAGGCAUGAAGAGUUCUAAUACUUCAAAAAUGCGGAAGGGUCUUACGACAGUACAGAUGCAGAAAAGAUGGAUUUGAGAGCAGUAAAAACUCAACCUUGGAGAGGAUUAACAUGCUAUUCAACAAUAGGGUACUGAAACUUGUCAAAAUGCCUUUGGAGCUUGAAAUACCUAGAGCUGCCAAAAUAUUCAAGAAUGAAAUUGAAAAACGUUUCUUCAAAAUGCCUUAGCCAACCAAACAUGAACAUAUUUGCUAUCAUGGCAAAACUGACCAUUGCUUUUGCUGGUCUCAGCCUGGGCCAAGUUGGGCAUCCUUCACUGCCCCACUGGAGACCAGUGUCAAGUCCAUGCUUCCUUACACUUUGCCCAUCACGCCCUGUCAAUAUUGUACUUGUCACAGAUCACAUUCUCUGUUUUAUAUGCUUUGGUUAUUUGCUGUUUUUCCUACUUCAUCCUUAGAUUAUCCAUAAGCUUUAGCAACUGCAUCUCAGCUGCUCCGUGUUGUCAACAGUGCCAAUUCAAGUGCUGUGAUUCUUAAUAACCACGUGUCUGAAUCAAUAAAUACCAAUGAAAUCUACAGCUACAGGGAGAAAUGCCCUAUAUUCCACAGAAAGGCGAAAAUUAAUGAUGGAGGACCACCAGCUGAGGAAUGAACUUAUCAGAGUUCUCAAAAAUUCAGUAGGAAGGAGCAGAAGUUAGAGUCUUAAAGAUUUGUUCAUGUCUUACUGAUGGUUAACUCCCCAAGAGUAGUUAAUCAGAAGCAGAAUUCUAGUUCCCACUGUUGUUAAUGGGAAGUGAAGAGGAGACUCUGACAGCGUCAGAAGAGCAGCUGGGUUGGGAAAGUGUCAGAGGAGCCAUUGGGAGAGGAGAAACAAGGGAAGCUUGGCAUCCUGGAAUGUGGACCUAACCGGCACCGGAUUCUCCAGGAAGCUGAGCUAGAUACAAGAGUGUGUAUCCAAGAAGUUUACUUUGGGAAGUUCCAUCCCAGGGAACUGGAUUGGGAGACUUCAAAGAGUACCACAAGGCAAACAUGUCUUCAGGCUAAACAUUACCCAGGACAACUAGGGCUCCAUCCUCCAGGCGGCGCUCUGAGAAAAUGUGGAGAAUACACCUCAGAGUUGUCCACCAGAAGGACAAGGAGAAACUAUCCAUCAGCUGUCUUUUCCCAUUGGUCAAGAGUUAUGGGGACAGGAGUGUAAGGGAGUAGUGUUCAUGACCUUCAACUUCCAGGAUUUACCUGCUUCAGAAUAGCUGAAUGGUUUCCAGAAGGUAUCUUAAGACAUGGCAAAAAAGAAGCUCCAGAGCAGAAAGCAAGAGAUAGGUGCUGCCACUGAUAUAGGGUGCUAGCAGGUGACCCCUUCACCAAGCUGGUUGCUGUAAAAAGGAGGGUAAAGAGGAUGUGAUCUAGGGCACAAGAGGUGGCCAACACUAGCUCAUAGAAGCACAUGAGUCUAAUGCAAAUCCGUGUGGCCUGGCAAUAAUGAGCACAGAAUCAUACCAAUCCCUUCUGAACAAAAGUCAGAGAAAAGGGCAUGAAGACCAAGGAGUAGCCAGAGAGAGAAACUACUUGGGGAGUGGAAGAAGCCAGGCAAAGCAUCACGGACACUGCGAAUGAAACUCCACCUUUUCUAUGCUUCAGACACAGACUGACACCUAGGUGGUAUUUUUUUUCCUAUUUAGGUUUUUGAUAUUUAGUUGCUACUUAUUUCAACUUGCCAGCUCUGAUAGAGCAAUGCCAUCUACCAGCCAUUUUUAAUGUGCUCAUUAAUUAAAUU
Long non-coding RNA from Canis lupus familiaris (dog), 2296 nucleotides. RefSeq lists it as uncharacterized. The transcript has 2 exons. NCBI's taxonomy places the organism in Eukaryota, Metazoa, Chordata, Mammalia, Carnivora, Canidae. The record is from RefSeq and is a predicted model, not a curated record.